GACGUAGGGCGCGAGCGUUGUCCGGAUUUAUUGGGCGUAAAGAGCUCGUAGGCGGCUUGUCGCGUCGGCUGUGAAAACCCGUGGCUCAACUGUGGGCGGGCAGCUGAUACGGGCAGGCUGGAGUUCGGUAGGGGAGACUGGAAUUCCUGGUGUAGCGGUGAAAUGCGUAGAUAUCAGGAGGAACACCGGUGGCGAAGGCGGCUAUCUGGACAGAAACUGACGCUGAGGCGCGAAAGCUAGGGGAGCAAACAGG
RNAcentral lists this ribosomal RNA (253 nucleotides) under uncultured bacterium. RNAcentral's name for it is "partial 16S ribosomal RNA". It matches the Rfam family "Bacterial small subunit ribosomal RNA", at positions 524 to 776 of the family's 1533-position model. The record is from RNAcentral.